CAAUUUGGUCCCCGAAGUUUCAAAAGUUAACAAAAAGGUCCUCAACUUAUUUUUCUUUUAAAAUGGGUGCCGCGGCGACGCUUGGUUCUCUACCCAAAACCAGAAAAUGGUUUUCUUUUUGCAGCCAAGUUUCAAAUAUUACAUGCUAGUCUCUCAACUUUGAUUUUGUACAAUUUGGUCCUCGAAUUUUGACUUUCAUUUCGAUUUUGCCCUCCAU
This 217-nucleotide long non-coding RNA is filed under the name Olea europaea (common olive). RNAcentral describes it as "long non-coding RNA (OEUR_LNC000043)". Lineage: Eukaryota; Viridiplantae; Streptophyta; Magnoliopsida; Lamiales; Oleaceae. The record is from RNAcentral.